UGCAUUCAGUUAUCUCAAAGUAUUUGAGAUGAACCAGACAUUUAGCCAUAGAAAAUGAUAAUAGGUAUUUUAUGUUUCUACAACCAUCGAUUUUCAAUGUGGUUAACGUCUCAUGAGUGCAAAAAGAUACAUUUGACAACUGGUUGUGCCAUACCUUUAUAACACUAAGUGAUGCCAACCGCAAUUUUUUCAAGGAAGGAAACGAUAUCUGAAACCAUACACAUCAGUAUUUCUACUUUCAAAUAUGUUAGGAUCGUCCCGAUUAAGCAACGAACAAGUAAAAAUAGUAGAAGAAAUUGAGAAGAUGAACACACAAAUUUAACGUGGAAAAACCCCUCAAAAGAGGAUAAAAAACCACGAGCAAAGAUAAUUUUACUAUAAUGGCAAAAGAAUGAAGAGUACAAAAGAUGGAGAUAAAAACUAAACCCCGAAAACCCGAAAAACAAAGAACCCUCAAACGUAAACACAAAAUUCUCUGAAUGUGUUAUGAGUUCUAAUCUAAUGGGUGUCUCUUAAUUCUAAGAUUGUAAAGGAGCCUAUUUAUAGGCUAAAUUAGUAAGUCAAAUAAACUAUACUAAUAAAUGCUAAAUAUAUUAUACUAAUAAAUACUAAAUCUUCUAGAAAGAAAAUAUAUUUUUGUUUAACUUGACUUGCAAGCAAUCUCUUAGAAUUUGGGUCACACAAUUCUAACAAUCUCCACCUUGACACGAAUUCUUUCAAUGCCAUCUUUGCCAAAACCCGCCACGGGCCUAUCUUGAACUAUGCAGGGAAUUAACUGAGUCGAAUCUAUGCUUAGAAGCUGGAAGACUUCUAGCCUUCGACUUGUGCACUGCCAAAUCAAAACUAACCCGAGUCUGAUUUUCACGAAUACAGCGCCCUAACUUUUCAAAACCUGCAUCCAAAAGAGAACCUCUCUUCAACGAAACGGUCAUACCUUUUUCCCUCCUAUGACCAAGUUGCCUCCGCUUCAAAUGAGUUGACUUUGACUCCGUAACGGACGAGGGACGUCCGAUUUCACCGGUCACUGUAGAACCUUCCAGAAUAUAAAGACUGCCGGUUCUUUUACCUUUUAACAAAAUGAGAGCUCCACGAGAUACUUUAAUGUCGCUCGACUCGAUGUUGAUUCUGCAUCCUUUCAAGUCUAAAAUACUCAAGGAGAUGAGAUUCUUUCGUAAAUCAGGUACAUACCUGACAUCUGAGAGUGUCCUAAUCGUCCCAUCGUGUAUCCUAAUUUUAACAGUACCAAUAUUUUACUAGAUGAAUCGUUUCCCAUGUGCACAACUCCACCUUCAACUGAACUGUAUGUGGAGAACCAUUCUCUAUUGGGACACAUGUGGAAAGAACAUCCUGAAUCUAGGAUCCACUCAGACGUAAGCUUGGAGUUAUCGUUCGUUAACACUAACAAGAAAUUAUCACCGCCUUCAUCGACCAAAUUAGCACCAGCUACAUCUUCCUCGUUACUCUCAGCAGCUCUUUUAUUUCGCAGUUUAUAACAAUCUGCUUUGACGUGACCUAACUUUUUGCAAUAGCGACACCUUUUGUCUCGUUUCUUUGAUGCUACCAAAACGGAAGCUUGUCUAUCUGCUUUGCUAUUCAAAUCAAACUCAUUGUCGAGUUUGUCCUUACUCAACAAAUGACCUUUCACAUCUUCGAACGAGAGUUUGUCUCUGCCAUAAAUCAGGGUCUCCCUGAAAGACUUGUAUGAAGAGGGUAAAGAGCACAAUAAUAGCAUAGCUUGAUCUUCAUCGUCAAUAUGAACCUCAACGUUCUUUAAAUCAUUUAAAAGAGUAAUGAAUUGACUGAUGUGAUCUUUAAGAAGCUCACCUUCGUUCAUGCGAAACGUAAAUAGACGUUGUUUCAACACUAAACGGUUAGCCAGAGACUUAGUCGCAUAAAGAGUUUCUAACCUUUUCCACAAGGCGAAUGAGGUCUUCUCCAUCAAUACCUCCUGCAAUACUGUAUUCGCGAGGCACAACUGGAUUGCAGACAAGGCCUUUUCAUCAAGCUCUUCCCAUUCUGUUUGAUUUAGAUUCUCAGGCUUUUUCCCUGUAACAACCUUUUUCAAGCCAUUUUGAACUAGAAUUGCCAUCAUCCGAACUUGCCACAGAUUGAAAUUUGUCUCACCAUCGAACUUCUCAAUUUCAAACCUUGUUGCUGCCAUCUCUGACCGGGCUGAUCUAUAAAAGUUAAACUAGCUCUGAUAUCACUUGUUAGGAUCGUCCCGAUUAAGCAACGAAUAAGUAAAAAUAGUAGAAGAAAUUGAGAAGAUGAACACACAAAUUUAACGUGGAAAAACCCCUCAAAAGAGGAUAAAAAACCACGGGCAAAGAUAAUUUUACUAUAAUGGCAAAAGAAUGAAGAGUACAAAAGAUGGAGAUAAAAACUAAACCCCGAAAACCCGAAAAACAAAGAACCCUCAAACGUAAACACAAAAUUCUCUGAAUGUGUUAUGAGUUCUAAUCUAAUGGGUGUCUCUUAAUUCUAAGAUUGUAAAGGAGCCUAUUUAUAGGCUAAAUUAGUAAGUCAAAUAAACUAUACUAAUAAAUGCUAAAUAUAUUAUACUAAUAAAUACUAAAUCUUCUAGAAAGAAAAUAUAUUUUUGUUUAACUUGACUUGCAAGCAAUCUCUUAGAAUUUGGGUCACACAAUUCUAACAAAAUAAAUAUUAUAUAUAUAAUUCUAAAGGAAUAUUUACUUUAUAAUUCUAUUUUUGCAAUUACCAAAUACAAUAAAAAAUUUACCCGUUUGAAAAUUCUAAUGGUGAUAUGCUUCCAAUUCCAAAACAUGUCAUAUUUUUUUCGAGUGGUAAUCUUGCACAUUUCUUGGCUACCUUAAUUGCUGUAGAUCGCAGCUCCUCAUUGUAAUGCCCAAUUAUUUCCCGGGCCCAGUUGAAUAAAAUUCAAUGUUUAAAGUCCAAAUAUACAGGCCCAAAUCAGAAAUUACAAGCCCAAAUUAGCCUAAACAUUGGGAAAUCAGAAACCCUAGGCAGCAAACUAAGCCGCCGCAACAUCCUUGCAACACGUCCCUUCGCUUUCCCCCCGCGCGCGCCUAGCUUCUGCGUGCGUACGCCUCCAGCUGGCCUCUGUACACCUGUAGCAAACGCAACAAACGCAAAAAAAACAACCAGCAACGACAAAGAAAACAGAAAACAAAAUAGCAAGGAAAGAAAAGAAAUAACAGAAGAGAUUUUGGGAUUUUUUAUUUAUUUUUAUUUUCUUUUCGAUUCGGUUAUAUAAGACCGAUUCCAACACUGUAAAGGGAUCCUUUUUUCACAGAAAUUGAAUAUAAAAACAAGAAAAAAAAUUCAAAGAAAAUUUCGUAAGGUUUUUUUAGUCUCUCUUCGUUUUUCUGUAUUUUUCUUUUAUUCUUUUGUUCAUUGCUAGUGUAAAUAAAUAAAAGAGAAAGGAAGUUUAGAGCGAGGAGUUUACCUUUGUUGUGGAGCCGAAUCCUUGUCUUCUCCAUCGUAAUCGGAGAUCGGGCGAAGGAUCGGAGAGCCUUUGAGUGGCUGGUCUACGGAGCGGCGUAGAGGAGCAUGUUUAGCUUAGGUUUUUUUUUUGUUUUGUUAAAAUGAAAUGGCUACUAGUUUU
This 3586-nucleotide long non-coding RNA is filed under the name Gossypium barbadense (sea-island cotton). RNAcentral's name for it is "long non-coding RNA (GBAR_LNC021151)". Lineage: Eukaryota; Viridiplantae; Streptophyta; Magnoliopsida; Malvales; Malvaceae. The record is from RNAcentral.